Molecule: long non-coding RNA, 663 nt
Filed under: Trifolium pratense (red clover)
Lineage: Eukaryota; Viridiplantae; Streptophyta; Magnoliopsida; Fabales; Fabaceae
Description: long non-coding RNA (TPRA_LNC002481)
Source: RNAcentral
UCAAACUGCAUGAUUCUGAUGAUUAUUGUUUCAAGAGAAUACAAAUCAUAAUUGUUUUACACGUAAUUUAUUUGAAGAUAACUAAAAACUGAAAAAGAAUCAGUCAUAACUUCAUAAUUUUUUUUUGAAGAAGGUCAUAACUUCAUAAUUAUCAUACAAGAUUGUCAGAAUACACAUAGACUUAGAAUUUGAGCUGAACCUAACUCAACCACAAGAUGGGGUCCUCCCGGCACCCACAUUUAAAAAGAAGGGUCGACGGUUUUGGCCCAAAAGGUAGCUCAAGGGGUGAGAAUUGCCCAAUCCUUAUAUGGAUAACUUUGGCCCUACCUAUAGACGAUGCAGAAUAAGGUAGUUCAAAUCCAGAUCCUGCCUAGGAAUGAGAAGGGGUCUCAAAAUUGUAAUUGUUUUCAAAAGUAUUUUUGAAAGUAAGAUAACUUAUUUCGAUAUGAAAUUUCUCUAAACUUUAACUCCAAAUUUAAUAUUGCAUUUCUUAAACCAUCCCUAAAAUUCUUGUGGAAAGGAAUUCAUUGCCUUUUUAGAAAUAUCUCUGCACUCCACUUUAAUGGAUGUUCUGAAUAUAUAAUCACGAGAUAAAAAGGAAGUAAUAAAGAAUAAACAGUUUUUUCAUGAAAUAGAUAUAAUAGUUCUUGUAUGCAUAAGUCA